Molecule: ribosomal RNA, 441 nt
Filed under: Triticum aestivum (bread wheat)
Lineage: Eukaryota; Viridiplantae; Streptophyta; Magnoliopsida; Poales; Poaceae
Description: partial small subunit ribosomal RNA
Source: RNAcentral
AUGCUAGCAAGAUGGGCAUCAUAUCUUGAGAGGUUUAACUAUCUCAUUGUGCAUAAAUCUGGAAUAACUAACAGAGUGGCCGAUGCUUUGAGUCGUCGUGCAUGCCUCUUGACUUCUUUUGAAGCUGAACUUCCGGGCAUGGGUCAAAUAAAGGAGUUGUAUGAGGGUGACGAAGACUUUGUCCAUGUUUGGGUAAAGCACGCAAGGGGCCAACCAUUAGGUGAUGACUAUUUGAUGCAAGAUGGAUAUCUCUUCAAAAAUGAUCGUUUGUGCAUUCCAAGAAGUUCUCUACAUGACAAGCUGGUUAGAGAGCUCCAUUCAAGUGAUCUUAGUGGCCAUGUUGGACGGGACAAGACUAUCGCUAACCUGGAAGCUCGCUACUUUUGGCCACAACUAAAGAGAGAUGCUGGAAAGUUCGUUCAACGGUGCCCCGUAUGUUAG